AACAGAUGCCUCCAGUGUUGUUACCUGAAUGUCACACCUGCCCGUGGCGUUCGAUCAUGGAUCAACACCUGUGCUGUAACGAGAGCAGGCACCAGAGACUCAAUUUGAAGCACUGCUGCGAUUGAAAAAUGGUGAUUUCUGUGUAUGUGACGGGCAGAAAAUGAACUGUGGCUGGUACUGGAUCUCAUGCAGGAAUACUGUCCACGCACUGACGGUGGAUCCACCAGAUUGUAACGCCACUGAAUCAUCGAGGACGGAGGAGGAGGAACCACGUAGUCAUCCGUCAACCACCUGGAAAAACUAUGUGGAUUCACUGGCAGGACAAAGCUGCAGUAUUCAGAGCUGCGCCAGCCGAUCACGGUUCCUUCAAUCCUCCAGGACGAUAACAGAUGAAGGUCUUUAACAAUAAAGUGCUCCAGGGAUGACUUAUUUUUGUAGGC
Molecule: long non-coding RNA, 440 nt
Organism: Sebastes umbrosus (honeycomb rockfish)
Lineage: Eukaryota; Metazoa; Chordata; Actinopteri; Perciformes; Sebastidae
Exons: 3
Source: RefSeq, a predicted model, not a curated record